RNAcentral lists this RNase P RNA (314 nucleotides) under Myroides guanonis. Its description in RNAcentral is "Bacterial RNase P class A". It matches the Rfam family "Bacterial RNase P class A". From Rfam's summary of the family: Ribonuclease P (RNase P) is a ubiquitous endoribonuclease, found in archaea, bacteria and eukarya as well as chloroplasts and mitochondria. Its best characterised activity is the generation of mature 5'-ends of tRNAs by cleaving the 5'-leader elements of precursor-tRNAs. The record is from Rfam by way of RNAcentral. Lineage: Bacteria; Pseudomonadati; Bacteroidota; Flavobacteriia; Flavobacteriales; Flavobacteriaceae.
CAAGCAGACUGCCUUAUCGCUAGUUCAGUUUUGAAUUAGAGGAAAGUCCGGACACCAAAGAGUAGCAUAGUGGGUAACGCCCAUCCGUGGUUCGCCAUGAGGACAAGUGCAACAGAAAGUAUGUACAGGUAAUGCUGUAGUGAAACCAGGUAAACUCUAUGCGGUGAAAUGUCAUGUAUAUUUAGCGUUUGAGGGCUACUCGCUCGAUGCUUUAGGGGUAGGCAGAUUGAGCCAUCGAGUAAUUGAUGGCCUAGAUAAAUGAUAAGGGUGUUCUUCGGAACAUACAGAAUCCGGCUUAUAAGUCUGCUUUUUUA